Neoarius graeffei (lesser salmon catfish) is the source of this 255-nucleotide long non-coding RNA. RefSeq lists it as uncharacterized. NCBI's taxonomy places the organism in Eukaryota, Metazoa, Chordata, Actinopteri, Siluriformes, Ariidae. The record is from RefSeq and is a predicted model, not a curated record. The transcript has 3 exons.
UGAAAGCCUGGGAGGGGCAAAUCCGGGGGCAGCCAUUCGUCGCAUUCUACGCCAGGUGGCUACCAACAAUGUCCUGGCGCAGUACAGCCUGAGGGGGAGGAGAGCAAAAAAGCCUUUCCAGAACUUAACCCUUUGCAAAAUUAUAACGGAAGGUAGCUGAUAUUGAGGAGUGCAUUGGGCAUGCACUGAAGUUUGCACCACACAGACGGUCAGCUGGUCCUCAAGAUUGAAGACGUACACCAACUUCUAUGCACA